This is a long non-coding RNA of Schistocerca americana (American grasshopper), 884 nucleotides long. RefSeq lists it as uncharacterized. NCBI's taxonomy places the organism in Eukaryota, Metazoa, Arthropoda, Insecta, Orthoptera, Acrididae. The record is from RefSeq and is a predicted model, not a curated record. The transcript has 3 exons.
UGUGAAGAAGAAUUGAGGUUGCUGAGAGCAAAACUAUUUGCUCAGUCACAGCCAAAUCUUUUGAGCAUUGGUAGUAUUGAGGAAGAAGAAAUUAAUCAUAUCAAUGGUGAUGGAGGGAAACAGACUUUGCAGAGUGCACAGUCUAUUCCAAACCUCUUAGAUUCUGAUGAUUCAUUGGAUGUUUCACAGGAUCCGGCUUCACAAAAGGUAUGUGCCAAUGGUCUCCGAUAUGGAUUCCCCAAAUACUGACCUUAUCUUAUUUCUGAUCUUCAGAGUCAUGCAAUAUGGAGUAUUUUCAUAUAAUGUGAGUCUGUGACAAGGUAGCAUGUAUUUCAAUUUAUGUCUAGUUUCAUAGGCAUGUGUGAAUUUAUUUCCUUCAAACAGAUGCGAGUUAUUGGUUUUGCUUGAUCUUCUUUAUACAAAUUUUCUCUUUGGUGGUGUUUAUUAAGGUCAUUAGUUUCUGUUGAACUCCCUUUGCCUCUUCAUUUGUUCUUGGCUUUAUAACAAUUUGUUUUGUUGCAUUGUUUGUGUUGCUGUGAUUUUAGCAGCAGGGGCUGUUUUGGCUGCAUCUCUAUUAGGUGGCACCAUUAUCACUGCACUUGCAUAUGUUUUCAUCGGUUUGUGUAAAUCUUCUCUGUAAUUGUCAUUUUAUUUUUGUGGUUGUUCCAACCUGCCAAUUAAUAAUGUCUGCUCUGAUGCCUAUUGCUAUAUUUUCUCCUCUAACUCUACUUUUAAUUUACUAUCACUUACCUGUAUCUUCUUUUGCCCAGAAAAUUCAUAUUCUAUAACAAGCAUUAUAUCCUCAUACUGCUGUUGUAUAUUCACCACUUCUCUAAAUGGUGUAGUUUUCCCUUCAGUAUAGCCAUUUGAAUUAGCCAUGUCAG